AUUGAACGCUGGCGGAAUGCUUUACACAUGCAAGUCGAGCGGCAGCGCGGGGGCAACCCUGGCGGCGAGCGGCGAACGGGUGAGUAACAUAUCGGAACGUACCCCGUCGUGGGGGAUAACACAGCGAAAGCUGUGCUAAUACCGCAUACGACCUGAGGGUGAAAGCGGGGGAUCGCAAGACCUCGCGCGAUGGGAGCGGCCGAUAUCGGAUUAGCUUGUUGGUGAGGUAAAGGCUCACCAAGGCGACGAUCCGUAGCUGGUCUGAGAGGACGACCAGCCACACUGGAACUGAGACACGGUCCAGACUCCUACGGGAGGCAGCAGUGGGGAAUUUUGGACAAUGGGGGCAACCCUGAUCCAGCCAUUCCGCGUGAGUGAAGAAGGCCUCGG
This 390-nucleotide ribosomal RNA is filed under the name uncultured bacterium. RNAcentral's name for it is "bacterial SSU rRNA". It matches the Rfam family "Bacterial small subunit ribosomal RNA", at positions 29 to 420 of the family's 1533-position model. The record is from RNAcentral.